GACGAACGCUGGCGGCGUGCUUAACACAUGCAAGUCGAACGGAAAGGCCCUGCUUUUGUGGGGUGCUCGAGUGGCGAACGGGUGAGUAACACGUGAGUAACCUGCCCUUGACUUUGGGAUAACUUCAGGAGACUGGGGCGAAUACCGGAUAUGAUCUCCUGCUGCAUGGUGGGGGUUGGAAAGUUUCGGCGGUUGUGGCUGGACUCGCUGCUUAUCAGCUUGUUUGUGUGGUAGUUGCUUACAAAGGCUUUGACGGGUAGCCGGCCUGAGAGGGUGACCGGCCACAUUGGGACUGAGAUACGGACCAGAAUGCUACGGGCGGCAGCAGUCGGGAACAUUGCGCAGCGGGCGGACGCCUGAUGCAGCAACGUUGCGUGCGGGAUGACGGCCUUUGGGUUGUAAACCGAUUUCGAAUGUGACGAAGAGUGCGUGACGGUAAUGGGUCAAGAAGCACCGGCUAACUACGUG
Molecule: ribosomal RNA, 468 nt
Filed under: uncultured bacterium
Lineage: Bacteria
Description: partial 16S ribosomal RNA
Rfam family: Bacterial small subunit ribosomal RNA
Source: RNAcentral